GGUAGGGUGGGUGAGUGGUUGAAACCGGCGGUCUUGAAAACCGCUAUACCAGAAAUGGUAUCGUGAGUUCGAAUCUCACCCCUACCG
Molecule: transfer RNA, 87 nt
Filed under: Candidatus Liptonbacteria bacterium
Lineage: Bacteria; Candidatus Liptoniibacteriota
Description: tRNA-Ser
Rfam family: tRNA
About the family: Transfer RNA (tRNA) molecules are approximately 80 nucleotides in length. Their secondary structure includes four short double-helical elements and three loops (D, anti-codon, and T loops).
Source: RNAcentral